CUUGCUCUUCUUGGAUGAGUUGCGAACGGGUGAGUAACGCGUAGGUAACCUGCCUUGUAGCGGGGGAUAACUAUUGGAAACGAUAGCUAAUACCGCAUAACAAUGGAUGACACAUGUCAUUUAUUUGAAAGGGGCAAUUGCUCCACUACAAGAUGGACCUGCGUUGUAUUAGCUAGUAGGUGAGGUAACGGCUCACCUAGGCGACGAUACAUAACCGACCUGAGAGGGUGAUCGGCCACACUGGGACUGAGACACGGCCCAGACUCCUACGGGAGGCAGCAGUAGGGAAUCUUCGGCAAUGGGGGCAACCCUGACCGAGCAACGCCGCGUGAGUGAAGAAGGUUUUCGGAUCGUAAAGCUCUGUUGUAAGUCAAGAACGAGUGUGAGAGUGGAAAGUUCACACUGUGACGGUAGCUUACCAGAAAGGGACGGCUAACUACGUGCCAGCAGCCGCGGUAAUACGUAGGUCCCGAGCGUUGUCCGGAUUUAUUGGGCGUAAAGCGAGCGCAGGCGGUUUGAUAAGUCUGAAGUUAAAGGCUGUGGCUCAACCAUAGUUCGCUUUGGAAACUGUCAAACUUGAGUGCAGAAGGGGAGAGUGGAAUUCCAUGUGUAGCGGUGAAAUGCGUAAAUAUAUGGAGGAACACCGGUGGCGAAAGCGGCUCUCUGGUCUGUAACUGACGCUGAAGCUCGAAAGCGUGGGGAGCGAACA
RNAcentral lists this ribosomal RNA (709 nucleotides) under Streptococcus sp. HGB0034. RNAcentral describes it as "bacterial SSU rRNA". It matches the Rfam family "Bacterial small subunit ribosomal RNA", at positions 79 to 774 of the family's 1533-position model. The record is from RNAcentral. Lineage: Bacteria; Bacillati; Bacillota; Bacilli; Lactobacillales; Streptococcaceae.